Molecule: ribosomal RNA, 254 nt
Filed under: uncultured bacterium
Lineage: Bacteria
Description: partial 16S ribosomal RNA
Rfam family: Bacterial small subunit ribosomal RNA
Source: RNAcentral
UACGUAGGGUGCGAGCGUUGUCCGGAAUUAUUGGGCGUAAAGAGCUCGUAGGCGGUGUGUCACGUCGAUCGUGAAAACUUUCAGCUUAACUGGGAGCUUGCGGUCGAUACGGGCAUCGCUGGAGUUCGGCAGGGGAGACUGGAAUUCAAGGUGUAGCGGUGAAAUGCGCAGAUAUCUUGAGGAACACCGGUGGCGAAGGCGGGUCUCUGGGCCGAUACUGACGCUGAGGAGCGGAAGCGUGGGGAGCGAACAGG